GAUGAACGCUGGCGGCGUGCCUAAUACAUGCAAGUCGAGCGAACAGAUGAGGAGCUUGCUCCUCUGACGUUAGCGGCGGACGGGUGAGUAACACGUGGAUAACCUACCUAUAAGACUGGGAUAACUUCGGGAAACCGGAGCUAAUACCGGAUAAUAUAUUGAACCGCAUGGUUCAAUAGUGAAAGACGGUUUUGCUGUCACUUAUAGAUGGAUCCGCGCCGCAUUAGCUAGUUGGUAAGGUAACGGCUUACCAAGGCGACGAUGCGUAGCCGACCUGAGAGGGUGAUCGGCCACACUGGAACUGAGACACGGUCCAGACUCCUACGGGAGGCAGCAGUAGGGAAUCUUCCGCAAUGGGCGAAAGCCUGACGGAGCAACGCCGCGUGAGUGAUGAAGGUCUUCGGAUCGUAAAACUCUGUUAUUAGGGAAGAACAAAUGUGUAAGUAACUAUGCACGUCUUGACGGUACCUAAUCAGAAAUCCACGGCUAACUACGUG
This 497-nucleotide ribosomal RNA is filed under the name uncultured bacterium. RNAcentral's name for it is "partial 16S ribosomal RNA". It matches the Rfam family "Bacterial small subunit ribosomal RNA", at positions 28 to 507 of the family's 1533-position model. The record is from RNAcentral.